Molecule: non-coding RNA, 87 nt
Filed under: Brevibacillus borstelensis
Lineage: Bacteria; Bacillati; Bacillota; Bacilli; Caryophanales; Paenibacillaceae
Also listed under: 1 other name
Description: c-di-GMP sequence
Rfam family: c-di-GMP-I riboswitch aptamer
About the family: GEMM was predicted in a large-scale screen for bacterial structured RNA regulatory elements. Genes associated with GEMM are involved in a diverse array of functions, including chemotaxis regulation, signal transduction, secretion and chitin.
Source: RNAcentral
AAACGAUAAUGGCAAAUCUAAUGAAAAUUAGAGACGCAAAGCUAUAGGGCCUUCCUUGUGUAUGCAAGAUGGCAGCCAGCUACCGAA